Zalophus californianus (California sea lion) is the source of this 1354-nucleotide RNA transcript. It is a transcript of the gene named family with sequence similarity 205 member C, with no coding region annotated. The record is from RefSeq and is a predicted model, not a curated record. NCBI's taxonomy places the organism in Eukaryota, Metazoa, Chordata, Mammalia, Carnivora, Otariidae. The transcript has 7 exons.
CUAGGAAGAGAGAUGGCUAGUGAGGUUUAGAUUAUGUUGACCCUUACCUUUCUUCUGUGGGAUGUUGGAUAUUCCUUAUACACUUAUGGCUCCAUCAUCAUUAUUGCAUUAAUUAUUUGGCAAGUGAAAAAGAGCCACCAAGAAUUAAGGUUGGGACCUAACAGGAGCUCUUGCCGGCAUCACAGGAGAGUCAAACAAAGGGCUAAAGAUAGAACAUCAAGAGCUAGGAGGUUUUGCCAGGAAGAAGCUGAGAAGCCGUGGGAGCUGCUCUCUAUCAUGAAAAGCCAGGGCUGGCUUCCUAAGGAGGGAAGUGUGAGGUGGCUCCUGUGUGCAGAUUCCACCUGCCCCAUCUGCAGUGCUGUGGCUCUGGAAAUUCAGCAGUUGCUGACGAGUGAGAACACCCUGAUUUCUCCCCCUUCAUCGGGACCAUCGCAGGGCUCCUCUUGCCUAGAGAUUUUGUCCAAGUCUAGUCUCCCUUUGGAGCAGAGUCAGGGUUCCCUGCACUCCAAAGAUCUUUCACUUCCAUCUGUAACCCCCACAAAGUUACAGUUAACGGAUCAGAAAUCCUUAACACAGUCAGCUGCCCAGUCAACCAAUAUCAGCAUCCAAGAUCACCAGGCUGAACACCUUCAGCGAAGGAAGGCAUUUCAAGUGCCAGAUGUGUCCAGGGAUGCAGGAGAUCUUUCUUCUUCAAGUGAGGCGCCUAGGAUUCCCGGGAAUCAGCAGGACAAGAGGAAGAGCCACUCGGAAUGUGUGCUGGAGAAACAAGAAGCUGCAGAAGCUGGCUUAGGAAAUAAGGUGAAGCACUUUCCACACUGGAUUAACCCCAAGAUGAAAGGUCAAGGGCAUAAAGAAUCCAUUCUCCUCUCUAAGGAUGAGACAAUGCCCAAAACCAUGACAAAAAAGGUUGAGAAGACUCCACCCCCCCACCAAACACCCUGUGAGAGGAGCCAAGUUGAAGAAGAAAACAGAGGAGGAGGGCAUGACCUUCUUUGAUGCCCCCCAGUCUCUGGACAAUGAACUCAAGCAACAAUCCCUUCCGCCCAGAUGCUCCUGGUUCCUGUGCCUUUCCCAAGACAGCUCCAAGCACUGUCCUCAGCUGACUUGUGCCACUCAGCCAGAAAAUCCAUCCCACGUCUCAGCUCUCACCUCAGCAGAAGGCACUGGUCUACACAAAGAGAAUACCCAGUCCAGGAAAAAGGAGUUUGUAGGUUCCCAAUCCUCUGCAUGCCCAUGAAAAAGGAUGUCAUCAUUUCCAUUAAUGUGCAGAACUACCUUUUUUGUCUUGAUUUAAAGAUGGCUACCUCUAAAAGACAAGGACAACAUUGUGGAGUAUAAGCGUCACAGAAAAGUC